Molecule: unclassified non-coding RNA, 386 nt
Filed under: uncultured bacterium
Lineage: Bacteria
Description: contains 16S-23S intergenic spacer region
Source: RNAcentral
UCCUGGUUUCCCAGGCAGUCCCAUCAGAGUGCUCCACUUUCAUGGAUAGCAACUGACGGCAAGGGUUGCGCUCGUUAAAGGACUUAACCCAACAUCUCACGACACGAGCUGACGACAGCCAUGCAGCACCUGUGCAUGUGUCUGGACCGAAGCCCAGAAGACUGUAUUUCUACAGCUGUCACAAGCAUGUCAAGCCUAGGUAAGGUUCCUCGCGUAGUAUCGAAUUAAACCACAUGUUCCACCGCUUGUGCGGACCCCCGUCAAUUCCUUUGAGUUUUAGUCUUGCGACCGUACUCCCCAGGCGGAUCACUUAACGCGUUAGCUACGACACCAAUCCCGCAGAGCGAGACUGACGUCUAGUGAUCAUCGUUUACGGCGUGGACUAC